RNAcentral lists this ribosomal RNA (828 nucleotides) under uncultured bacterium. RNAcentral's name for it is "bacterial SSU rRNA". It matches the Rfam family "Bacterial small subunit ribosomal RNA", at positions 1 to 809 of the family's 1533-position model. The record is from RNAcentral.
CCUUAGAGUUUGAUCCUGGCUCAAGACGAACCCUGGCGGCGUGCCUAACACAUGCAAGUCGAACGGAGUUAAAUUCGACACCCGAGUAUCCGGCCGGGAGGCGGGGUGCUGGGGGUUGGAUUUAACUUAGUGGCGGACGGGUGAGUAACGCGUGAGUAACCUGCCUUUCAGAGGGGGAUAACGUUCUGAAAAGAACGCUAAUACCGCAUAACAUCAAUUUUAUCGCAUGAUAGGUUGAUCAAAGGAGCAAUCCGCUGGAAGAUGGACUCGCGUCCGAUUAGCCAGUUGGCGGGGUAACGGCCCACCAAAGCGACGAUCGGUAGCCGGACUGAGAGGUUGAACGGCCACAUUGGGACUGAGACACGGCCCAGACUCCUACGGGAGGCAGCAGUGGGGGAUAUUGCACAAUGGGGGAAACCCUGAUGCAGCAACGCCGCGUGAGGGAAGAAGGUUUUCGGAUUGUAAACCUCUGUUCUUAGUGACGAUAAUGACGGUAGCUAAGGAGAAAGCUCCGGCUAACUACGUGCCAGCAGCCGCGGUAAUACGUAGGGAGCGAGCGUUGUCCGGAUUUACUGGGUGUAAAGGGUGCGUAGGCGGCGAGGCAAGUCAGGCGUGAAAUCUAUGGGCUUAACCCAUAAACUGCGCUUGAAACUGUCUUGCUUGAGUGAAGUAGAGGUAGGCGGAAUUCCCGGUGUAGCGGUGAAAUGCGUAGAGAUCGGGAGGAACACCAGUGGCGAAGGCGGCCUACUGGGCUUUAACUGACGCUGAAGCACGAAAGCAUGGGUAGCAAACAGGAUUAGAUACCCUGGUAGUCCAUGCCGUAAACGA